RNAcentral lists this ribosomal RNA (208 nucleotides) under uncultured Alkalibacter sp. RNAcentral describes it as "partial 16S ribosomal RNA". It matches the Rfam family "Bacterial small subunit ribosomal RNA", at positions 568 to 775 of the family's 1533-position model. The record is from RNAcentral. Lineage: Bacteria; Bacillati; Bacillota; Clostridia; Eubacteriales; Eubacteriaceae.
CGUGUAGGCGGUUUUUUAAGUCAGGUGUGAAAGUUCGGGGCUUAACCCCGGAAUUGCAUUUGAAACUGGAGAACUUGAGUACUGGAGAGGUAAGUGGAAUUCCUAGUGUAGCGGUGAAAUGCGUAGAUAUUAGGAGGAACACCAGUGGCGAAGGCGACUUACUGGACAGAUACUGACGCUGAGGCGCGAAAGCGUGGGGAGCGAACAG